UACGUAGGGUGCCAGCGUUGUUCGGAAUUACUGGGCGUAAAGGGUUCGUAGGCGGUGCGGCAAGUUGGGAGUGAAAUCUCUGGGCUUAACCCAGAGGCUGCUUUCAAAACUGCUGUGCUUGAGUGUGAGAGAGGCUCGUGGAAUUGCAGGUGUAGCGGUGAAAUGCGUAGAUAUCUGCAGGAACACCCGUGGCGAAGGCGGCUCUCUGGGACGGUACUGACGCUGAGGAGCGAAAGCGUGGGGAGCGAACAGG
Molecule: ribosomal RNA, 253 nt
Filed under: uncultured bacterium
Lineage: Bacteria
Description: partial 16S ribosomal RNA
Rfam family: Bacterial small subunit ribosomal RNA
Source: RNAcentral